RNAcentral lists this ribosomal RNA (253 nucleotides) under uncultured prokaryote. Its description in RNAcentral is "partial 16S ribosomal RNA". It matches the Rfam family "Bacterial small subunit ribosomal RNA", at positions 525 to 777 of the family's 1533-position model. The record is from RNAcentral.
ACGGAGGGUGCAAGCGUUAUCCGGAUUCACUGGGUUUAAAGGGAGCGCAGGCGGGCAUGUAAGUCAGCGGUGAAAGCCCCAAGCUUAACUUGGGAACUGCCUUUGAUACUAUGUGUCUUGAAUAUUGUUGAGGUAUGCGGAAUGGGUCAUGUAGCGGUGAAAUGCAUAGAUAUGACCCGGAACACCAAUUGCGAAGGCAGCAUGCUAAACAAAGAUUGACGCUGAGGCUCGAAAACGUGGGGAUCAAACAGGA